Molecule: ribosomal RNA, 310 nt
Filed under: Paccius sp. SP52
Lineage: Eukaryota; Metazoa; Arthropoda; Arachnida; Araneae; Trachelidae
Description: partial 12S ribosomal RNA
Source: RNAcentral
AAGUAGUAAAUUUAAUUAAAACAAAAUUUUAAUGGCGGCAUCUCAUCUUAUUAGAGGAACUUGUUAAAUAAUAGAUAAUACACUAUAAUUUUUACUUAAAUACAAAGUUUAUAUACCGCCAUCUAAAGAAUAAAUACAAAUAUUUAUUCAAAAUAAAAAAUAAAAAGUUAGGUCAAGGUGUAACUUAAAUUUAAGUAAUAAUGAGUUACUUUAAAAUUAAUUUAAGGAAAAUUUUUUAAAAAAUUUUCGAAAAAGGAUUUAAAAGUAUAUUAUAAAUAAUAAUUAUCAUAGAUUAAGAUAAUAAAUGUGC